UACGAGGGGUGCAAGCGUUGUUCGGAAUUACUGGGCGUAAAGCGUGUCUAGGUGGGAUUGUAAGUCAGUUGUGAAAGACCUUGGCUCAACCGAGGAAUUGCAAUUGAAACUAUAAUUCUGGAGUUAUGGAGAGAUGAGCGGAAUUCCGAGUGUAGCAGUGAAAUGCGUAGAGAUUCGGAGGAACACCAGAGGCGAAGGCGGCUCAUUGGCCAUGUACUGACACUGAAGCACGAAAGCGUGGGUAGCAAACAGG
RNAcentral lists this ribosomal RNA (253 nucleotides) under uncultured bacterium. RNAcentral's name for it is "partial 16S ribosomal RNA". It matches the Rfam family "Bacterial small subunit ribosomal RNA", at positions 524 to 776 of the family's 1533-position model. The record is from RNAcentral.